Molecule: long non-coding RNA, 1113 nt
Organism: Lepisosteus oculatus (spotted gar)
Lineage: Eukaryota; Metazoa; Chordata; Actinopteri; Semionotiformes; Lepisosteidae
Source: RefSeq, a predicted model, not a curated record
UGCUCUUCGAGGGGAAAUGAACACGGAGAGAUAAAACGCGUCCGAUACGAGGACUGAGGCUUCGGUUCGGUGCAAAACCCCGGUUUCAAGUUCAGAGCUGGUGGAGAGUGAUUGGCAGACAGGCCAAUCGUAAGCUGUCCUCACGAAUCCCUGCAAUCCUAUACAUUGACCUGCUGGAAAUGGGACAGCACUGCCUCCCUGGGGACAUGCUCUCAGCUCCCCCACCCCCACCGAGAUCUCUAGGAGCCAACCCAGGAACAGGAGCUGCUGUCUCCCUGAACACAAACUGUAUUGGUAUUUCUACUCUCCCAUGCCUGCCCUACCAACAGGUGGCAUUAACUGUGUUCUGCCCUGACUUCACAACACAUCAUUUCUCAUAAGAACGAGAACAAUUCCCACCUACAACACAGCAGGUCACUGUACCCUACACCAAGGGUUUUUAAACAUGAGAGUCCUCCACACACUGAAAACCCAACUUCAUGUGUGGGCUUAUUUUUGUUAGGAGAACAUUUCCAAGAGCUUUGUCCCCUAAUCUGUUUGCCUGGUACUUCAUUCUCCUCCUGUUUUUAGUUUUAGGGUCCUUGGGGACGUUAUCAGCACUUGAUCAGUUCAUGAACUUAAGUGCGAGUGACAUAAACAAAUUUCUGAAAACAGUCAAAUCAAAGAAAGCACAUCCUCCCCAGAUGCAAAGAUGUUUUGAUUUUUGGAACAAAUUUUGGUGCUUAGUCAUGAAAUAAUAGAUGUGAUGUGAACACUUUUUUGUAAGGGUUUAUGUUCCUUAACCCCCUUAUGACCCUUUUUUGCAGAUGGUUUUAAGAUUGUAGAAAGAAUUAUCUGCUGUCCAUCUGAAUUAUUAUUUUUUAAUUAAUAUGCUGGGAAAAUCAAUGAUGUGCUAUUUAAUAUAAAAUAAAAAAUGCAUUGAUUAUUUAAUUACAGAUAUUCAAUUACUCUUCCGUAUAUCACAGGGGUCUCUGUAAGAUGCAUGUAAGAAAGUGAACAACAAAACUUCCUAGAUUUAUAAUUGAAGAUCAGGAUAUUUUACAGUUUGUAUAAUCUUUACAUCAAGAGGAUUUUGAAAGUAAGUCAUUAAAGCAAAUUAUGCUUUCAAACUUA